GCCUAACCUAACACACAAUUAAAUCACCAAUUGUUCGCCAAAUUACUACGAGUUAAAACUUAAAACUUAAAAGACUUGACGGUACUUCACACCACCCUAGAGGAGCCUGUCUAAUAACCGAUACCCCACGAUUAACCCAACCCGCCCUAGCCUAACAGUCUAUAUACCGCCAUCGCCAGCUCACCCUGUGAAAGAAACAAAGCGAGCCCAAUAAUAAUCGUUAGUACGAUAGGUCGAGGUGUAACUAAUGAGCGGGAAAAAGAUGGGCUACAUUUUCUAAUACAGAAAAUACGAAUAAACUAUGAAAAUAGAAACCGAAGGAGGAUUUAGCAGUAAAUUAGAGACAAUAAACCUAAUCGAAAUAAACGCAAUGAAGUGCGUACACACCGCCCGUCAUCCCUGUAAAAUAAACCAAUACUUCAUAAACACACAAAAACCAAUAAACAGGGCAAGUCGUAACAUGGUAAGCGUACUGGAAAGUGCGCUUAGAAA
Molecule: ribosomal RNA, 492 nt
Filed under: Hebius boulengeri (Tai-yong keelback)
Lineage: Eukaryota; Metazoa; Chordata; Lepidosauria; Squamata; Natricidae
Description: partial 12S ribosomal RNA
Rfam family: Bacterial small subunit ribosomal RNA
Source: RNAcentral